This 484-nucleotide ribosomal RNA is filed under the name uncultured bacterium. Its description in RNAcentral is "partial 16S ribosomal RNA". It matches the Rfam family "Bacterial small subunit ribosomal RNA", at positions 29 to 507 of the family's 1533-position model. The record is from RNAcentral.
UUGAACGCUGGCGGCAUGCCUUACACAUGCAAGUCGAACGGCAGCGGGCCCUUCGGGGUGCCGGCGAGUGGCGAACGGGUGAGUAAUGCAUCGGAACGUACCCGGGAGAGGGGGAUAACCGGCCGAAAGGCUGGCUAAUACCGCAUGAACUCGGAAGAGCAAAGCGGGGGACCUUCGGGCCUCGCGCUCUCGGAGCGGCCGAUGUCCGAUUAGGCUAGUUGGUGGGGUAAAGGCCCACCAAGGCGACGAUCGGUAGCGGGUCUGAGAGGACGAUCCGCCACACUGGGACUGAGACACGGCCCAGACUCCUACGGGAGGCAGCAGUGGGGAAUCUUGGACAAUGGGCGCAAGCCUGAUCCAGCAAUGCCGCGUGGGUGAAGAAGGCCUUCGGGUUGUAAAGCCCUUUCGGCGGGGAAGAAAUCGGUCAGGCGAAUAGUCUGGCCGGAUGACGGUACCCGCAGAAGAAGCACCGGCUAACUACGUG